Long non-coding RNA from Papaver somniferum (opium poppy), 2914 nucleotides. RefSeq lists it as uncharacterized. The transcript has 11 exons. Lineage: Eukaryota; Viridiplantae; Streptophyta; Magnoliopsida; Ranunculales; Papaveraceae. The record is from RefSeq and is a predicted model, not a curated record.
CCCCUUUUCACUUCAUUUUUUUCUUUCUUCCCGCCAAGAAAGCAACAUAAACCCUAGAAGUUUGGGGAUUCAUCUUCGAGAAGAAUUUAAUGUCUCUAACGAUCUAAUGAAACGCUCUCCCUCACACUCCCUCACACACAAUUAAGUUUUGCUGCAGGAAAUGCUUCAUUCGACAAAAUUAACUUGGAAGGUUCCCGUCGUGUACAAAGUUACAGCCAAAGUGAUGUCUUGCUCUUGCAACAUGGCAGAUAUUACAGACAAAGGAGUCUCAUUGGUGGAAGAUCUUCACAAGCCAAGGCAGCCAUUUCCCUCCAUGGAUGCUAUAUAUUUCAUACAGUUGUUAAGACAGAAUGCUGUUAAGGUAUUGUCUGACAUGUUGGGAAGGGGGCCAUUGUACAAGAAGUAUAUGAAGGACAUCUCCAGAAACUUUUUUUUUUUUGGAGUUAGUAAUUAAUUUUUUAGUGAUUUGUUUCCGGGCAAACGCCUUCUUCAGUUCGCCAAUUCAGAAGGAAUUGGUUAAUCUUAUCAAGAAUAUACGAGUGUAAGGCCUCACAUCACAUUGGUGCAUUGGAAGAGAUGAGUUUGGAGUACUUGGCAAUGGAACUUAACUUACCAAGGACCUGUGAUAAAUAAUUGUCAUGUGUAACAUAUUAGGCAGGGAGCUGCUAGUGGUUAUUUCACUUUUCGUAACUGUUUUUGUUUAGUGAUUUAUCCUGUAGGGGUUUGUCCCUGAUAAUGAGAGAGCGCUGGAGGAGCUGUAUGGGGAAAACAUGCAGACCACUUACCCACAUGAGGCUUGUUUGAAUGCGAUGGCAUCUCGGAUUGUUACAGUCUUUGCUUCAUUAAGACAACUUUCAUUUGUUUGGUAUCAUGCUGCCAAGGUUGAUGGUUCCGCAGAGAUGACAUUUCGAGAUAUAAAGCUUGCCGCAUUUGUGUGGAACUGUAUUAACUUCAAAAGCAUCAUGCCUCUGUCAGAAACAUGUGAGCUGCUAUUCCUUGAACCGAACGGGGCAAAUGAACUCUAUGUGAUUGGGAAUUUCAAUUCCUAGGAAUCCAAUUCCCUUUAAAAUGAUAGAUUUCCAUUGCAUUGGUCCAAUGAUGCAACGGAAUUUGGAUUCCGAGGUAAUAACAAAGGUAAUUGAAUUAUCUCAACCGAACAUGAAUUUUUUGGAUUGGAAUCAAAUUCCUUGGAAUCCAAUUCCAAGAAUUGGAUUACCCCAUAGUUGAAUUCCUAGGAUUCUAAUUCUCCCAACCGAACGCGCUAUUAAUGUUUGUGUAAUUUGAGGUUUACUUUACAUAUCCUGAUACGAAUAUGCUGUUAGGUUCCAAGUAACUCAGGUGUUGAACCUGAUUAGAAGGAUGUUUUUUUGGGGGAUCAUAGUCCUGUGUGGCUCGAGUUAUGCCAUGCACAUAUUGCAGAUGUAUGUCUGAUUUCUAAGAGUUUAUAUUCUUGUAGGAAAUCAGGAGGAUUAUGUUUUGAUCUUUGUACAUUAUUAUAGGCUGGCGAAAGAUUGCAUGAGAAGAUGACUUCAUUUGUUUCAAAAAUAAAUCUGCAGAAAUACAAUCGAGGUUUAUUUUACGUGGUUUAUGUUAUUCAAUGAACACUGACUCAUUUCAAUUUUGUCAAUAUAGUGAAUUAAGAUGAUGGCAAUGCUCGGAGGUAUACGUAAUGUGUUCCUUACACAUCUUCUGGAUAUAUUUGAAAAAGUUGUAACAGCUGUAUCAUAAAGUUGGUACAGGGUCACUCUAGUUUUAGUAAAACAUAUUCAGAAAGAAUAGUAUUUGCAUUUUAAGUCUUACAAUGAUUGGAUUUCAUGGAUCGAGGUCGGAUCCUAAUCUUAGAAUUCUUCUGAGUUCGUAUUAGAAUGAUGUAUUUCUAGUUCAUGUGGUUAUUAUCCCAAUCCCCUCUUUUAAAUGUUACUUUUUGUACAGAGAUGGGAGUGAACUGUCAUCUGGAGGAGACUUGCAAAAGAUGGUCCCAGCCCUACCACAGAUGGUGAACAAAAGGAUAAGCUCUUCUUCCAUGUAGAGGACUCUCCAGUCUUCAACUAUCAGCUAGCUCUGCAGGUAGUGAUUCUCCAAGUACUGGAGAUCCUACUGUGUCCAUAGCUGAAGGAAAAAUAAUGUGAAGUUACCUUGAAGCAAUACGCAACCGUCCAAUCAGCAACUCCUUUUGAUAAAAGAGUGUGUAGAUGCCAUCAUUGAGCACCAGAGACUUCUCCAAUUGAUGAAAGGAGAGUUGGUUAAGGGUUUGUUACCACAAAGUAGUGUUCAUCCAGACUACACAAUGCAAACGAUUCAAGAGCUUGCUGAAGGAACUUGCUUGAUGACCUACGAGUAUCUGCGAACUGCAUUGUGGGAUGCCAUUUUUACUACUCUGCCAUAGAAUGAAGGUCGACUAUGGAGGCAUAAUCUGGGGUAGGCAUAGUCUAGUACUAGUAUCCGUCAUCCAGCAUGCUCAAAUAUUUGGUAAUAAAAUAAAAGUUGAAACUUUUAUACCCAUAUCAACGGGCAUGUUUUUCCUGUCUUUCACAGCUAGUUGCACCAAGCAAGAGCUUUGGAUGCAACUGAUGACUUGCGGAAUUUACUGAUAAUUUAGCUCACCAUACAAACAUGGAAUGUCCUGGUAAAAACAUGGAUGUAUGAAGUGCCCUGGGUCUUUUUCUGUCAAUUUUAUCUUAUGUCAACCUUCUUCAUCCAUGUCAUAGCGAGGAGCUUGCUGGUCUUCAUUGCUUUCGUCACCUGCAGGAUCUGUUAGUAACUACUAUGCAAAAUCCGCUUGCUCUUAAUUUUGACUAUUUUCAGCAACAACGUUCUGUUUAGUUAUUAUGUAAUUCUAGUGCACCAGGGGACUGAUCCAAUCCAUAUAUUCUUGGACUCCUCUAGUGGAUAUCUAGUGUAGUUUAUAUUGAUU